CAACCAGAUUUAUCUCUCCAAAUUAGCCCACCCAACAGCAAACCCUCAUCAACAUGGAGAAGAACAGAAGAAGAGAUGGGUUUGGGAUUCUGGAAGAGAGCUUUGGACUCCAGAAACACUAUGUCUUCAUUGGCAAAACCUGAUGCCUGUUUUGAGCUCUCACUAUCAAAUCCAAGGGUUUCAGAGUCCAACUCCAACCAUUUUCACCUUCUCCAAAACAACAGCAAUUACAAUGGUAACAAUGUUUUCGAUUAUUUACCACAAAACCAGUACCAACACCAACUCCAACAAAACCAUCUUCAUCAUCACCAUCCUCUCUUUCAGCAGCAGCAGCAGCAGCAACAAGGGCUAAGCCAAGAGCUUGGUUUAUUGAGACCCAUCAGAGGGAUUCCGGUAUAUCAAAAUCCUCCUCCCUUUUCAUUCUCUCAACAACCUUUGGAUAGUGCUGGUUCUCAAACUUCUUCUUUAGCAACCAAUAACUCGAGCUCCGCAAGUUUAAGACCCUAUCAGUCUCCAGGUUUGAUGAGAUCACGAUUGAUGUCAAGAUUUCCAGCUAAACGC
RNAcentral lists this unclassified non-coding RNA (561 nucleotides) under Hevea brasiliensis (rubber tree). Lineage: Eukaryota; Viridiplantae; Streptophyta; Magnoliopsida; Malpighiales; Euphorbiaceae. The record is from RNAcentral.